AUGGUUCAUCAGGAUCAGGGAAAGCUGGUGCAGAUGGUGGCCGUGGACGUUGGACUUGUGGCGCCGCCGAUCAGGUACGUGCUAAGCGAGGAGAACAGGCCGACCACCGUUGCACAGCAAGCCAAGCUGGUCAUCCCCAUCGUGGACGUGAGCCGUCUGGCCAUGCCCGAUGACGUUGAGGAGGCGGCCAAGCUUCGGUCUGUGCUCCAUUCAUGGGGCCUCUUUGUGGUUACCGGCCAUGGCAUGCCAAAGGAGUUCCUCGACGAGAUCCUCGAGGCGACAAGGAAGUUCUUCCACCUGCCGCUGGAGGAGAAGCAGAAGUGCGGCAACGUGAUCGACGGCGUCAAAUUCCAGAACGAAGGGUACGGCAUCGACCGCAUCGACUCCCACGAGCAGAUCCUCGACUGGUGUGACCGGCUCUGGCUCCAGCUCCAGCCGGAGGACGAGAGGCGGCUCCAGUUCUGGCCGCAGAAUCUAAGGGAUCUCCUACACGAGUACACCUUAGAGAGUGGGAGAGUGACCAUGGAUGUGCUGAAGGCCAUGGCAAAGCUUCUGAACCAGGAGGAGGGCUUCUUCAUCAACAUGGUGGGUGAGAGGUUCAAGUCAUACUCGAGGUUCACCUACUACCCUCCCUGCCCACGCCCGGACCUCGUGAACGGGCUGAAGCCGCACACCGACAACUCUGUCAUCACACUGCUCCUCAUGGACAAGGACGUCGGCGGCUUCCAGGUGCUUAAGGACGGCCACUGGGUUGAUGUUCCCGUGCUCAGUAAUGACCUGUUGGUCGUUGUCGGCGAGGGCAUGGAGAUCAUCAGCAAUGCAAUCUUCAAGGCGCCGUGGCGCCGUGUGGUGACGAGCGCCGACAAGGAGAGGCUGUCACUGGCGAUGUUCUACCAGCCGGAGCCCGAGAGGAUCAUAGGGCCGCCGGGGGUGCUAGUCCACGAGAAGCGCCCGGCGAUGUUCAAGAACUGCUUGGUCCAGACAUUGGCCGAUGGAUACUGGGAUGCAUUUGCAGCAGGAGAUCGCACCGUUGACUUCCUCAAUGUCAGGAUCAAUGCAGUGGCCGACGCUGAGCACGAGUGCAUGAUGUUCCUCUCUCACUCCCACAAGUGUAGUGUGAAUACGAGUUGA
Molecule: ribosomal RNA, 1131 nt
Filed under: Triticum aestivum (bread wheat)
Lineage: Eukaryota; Viridiplantae; Streptophyta; Magnoliopsida; Poales; Poaceae
Description: partial small subunit ribosomal RNA
Source: RNAcentral